CGGUGUUUAACUGGCGUGAUGUGGGACGUCCUACCGGUGGGCUUAGCCUCGCGAGGGGCGGCCCAACUAAUAUCCCGUCGGCGGUGCUCUUUACUGAGUGUCGAGUCGGGCCGGUACGUUUACUUUGAACAAAUUAGAGUGCUUAAAGCAGGCUAUCCUCGCCUGAAUACUGCGUGCAUGGAAUAAUGGAAUAGGACCUCGGUUCUAUUUUGUUGGUUUUCGGAACCCCGAGGUAAUGAUUAAUAGGGACAGAUGGGGGCAUUCGUAUUGCGACGUUAGAGGUGAAAUUCUUGGAUCGUCGCAAGACGGACAGAAGCGAAAGCAUUUGCCAAAAAUGUUUUCAUUAAUCAAGAACGAAAGUUAGAGGUUCGAAGGCGAUCAGAUACCGCCCUAGUUCUAACCAUAAACGAUGCCAGCUAGCGAUCCGCCGAAGUUCCUCCGAUGACUCGGCGGGCAGCUUCCGGGAAACCAAAGCUUUUGGGUUCCGGGGGAAGUAUGGUUGCAAAGCUGAAACUUAAAGGAAUUGACGGAAGGGCACCACCAGGAGUGGAGCCUGCGGCUUAAUUUGACUCAACACGGGAAACCUCACCAGGCCCAGACACCGGAAGGAUUGACAGAUUGAUAGCUCUUUCUUGAUUCGGUGGGUGGUGGUGCAUGGCCGUUCUUAGUUGGUGGAGCGAUUUGUCUGGUUAAUUCCGAUAACGAACGAGACUCUAGCCUGCUAAAUAGGCGUACCUUAUGGUAUCGCGAAGGCCCCCGGCUUCGGCCGGUGGGUUUUUACUACCAACGUACAAACAAAUCUUCUAGAGGGACAGGCGG
RNAcentral lists this ribosomal RNA (819 nucleotides) under uncultured eukaryote. Its description in RNAcentral is "SSU rRNA". It matches the Rfam family "Eukaryotic small subunit ribosomal RNA", at positions 629 to 1426 of the family's 1831-position model. The record is from RNAcentral.